This 475-nucleotide unclassified non-coding RNA is filed under the name Hevea brasiliensis (rubber tree). The stretch from base 102 to 206 matches the Rfam family "Small nucleolar RNA Z107/R87". Lineage: Eukaryota; Viridiplantae; Streptophyta; Magnoliopsida; Malpighiales; Euphorbiaceae. The record is from RNAcentral.
CGUUCUUUGGUUUUGGUUUCUCUGCUCCCUUUCGUAAAAACAUGAUUAUUUUCUGCUUUUAAUUUUACUUACAAUGCUAAAUUUUGUAUGCUGGGAGAAGAGAUCACAGUGAUGACUCAGGAAAUUCAAGCUCAACAGACCGGAAUGCAGGCCUCUCUUUUUCUAGAGAGCUUUGCGUGUCGACCUUCCCGCUGACCUGAGUGAUCCUUUUCUCUUACGAAAUUGACAUUUCCUUUUUGGUUUCUGGCCUAAAAGGUCUAUCUAGUGGUUUUCGUCUCUUAAAUUUUAGCUGUUGAUUUGAUUUGAUUAUCUUCUUGUUCUGAAAUAGGAGAAGUUGGGGGUAAUUGAGGUUGCAAUGAGGAUUCACAGCUCCCUCUUCUGAGUUCAAGUUGAGGAAAUCAGCUGGCAGAAUCGAACCUAUGACUUAUUAGCCAUCACUGAGCAAUCUCAAUUACCCCCAACUUCUCCUAUUUCA